RNAcentral lists this ribosomal RNA (400 nucleotides) under uncultured bacterium. RNAcentral describes it as "bacterial SSU rRNA". It matches the Rfam family "Bacterial small subunit ribosomal RNA", at positions 355 to 769 of the family's 1533-position model. The record is from RNAcentral.
UGGGGAAUUUUGUGCAAUGGGCGAAAGCCUGACACAGCGACACCGCGUGGAUGAAGAAGCCCUUUGGGGUGUAAAAUCCUGUCGGCUGGAACGAAACAAAUGACGGUACCAGCAGAGGAAGCAUCGGCUAACUACGUGCCAGCAGCCGCGGUAAGACGUAGGAUGCAAGCGUUGUCCGGAUUUAUUGGGCGUAAAGAGUUCGUAGGCGGUUUGUUAAGUCUGAUGUUAAAGAUCGGGGCCCAACCCUGGGAGUGCAUUGGAUACUGGCAGACUGGAGUGUGGUAGAGGUUAGUGGAAUUCCCAGUGUAGCGGUGAAAUGCGUAGAUAUUGGGAAGAACACCAGUGGCGUAGGCGACUAACUGGGCCAUAACUGACGCUGAGGAACGAAAGCCAGGGGAGC